RNAcentral lists this ribosomal RNA (1299 nucleotides) under uncultured bacterium. RNAcentral's name for it is "16S ribosomal RNA". It matches the Rfam family "Bacterial small subunit ribosomal RNA". The record is from RNAcentral.
AGGGUUUGAUUAUGGCUCAGAUUGAACGCUGGCGGCAUGCCUUACACAUGCAAGUCGAACGGUAACAGGUCUUCGGAUGCUGACGAGUGGCGAACGGGUGAGUAAUACAUCGGAACGUGCCCGAUCGUGGGGGAUAACGCAGCGAAAGCUGCGCUAAUACCGCAUACGAUCUACGGAUGAAAGCGGGGGAUCGCAAGACCUCGCGCGGACGGAGCGGCCGAUGGCAGAUUAGGUAGUUGGUGGGAUAAAAGCUUACCAAGCCGGCGAUCUGUAGCUGGUCUGAGAGGACGACCAGCCACACUGGGACUGAGACACGGCCCAGACUCCUACGGGAGGCAGCAGUGGGGAAUUUUGGACAAUGGGCGAAAGCCUGAUCCAGCCAUGCCGCGUGCAGGAUGAAGGCCUUCGGGUUGUAAACUGCUUUUGUACGGAACGAAAAAGUCUUCUCUAAUACAGGGGGCGAAUGACGGUACCGUAAGAAUAAGCACCGGCUAACUACGUGCCAGCAGCCGCGGUAAUACGUAGGGUGCGAGCGUUAAUCGGAAUUACUGGGCGUAAAGCGUGCGCAGGCGGUUAUAUAAGACAGAUGUGAAAUCCCCGGGCUCAACCUGGGAACUGCAUUAGUGACUGUAUAGCUAGAGUGCGGCAGUACGGCCGCAAGGUUAAAACUCAAAGGAAUUGACGGGGACCCGCACAAGCGGUGGAUGAUGUGGUUUAAUUCGAUGCAACGCGAAAAACCUUACCCACCUUUGACAUGUACGGAAGUCGCUAGAGAUAGCUUCGUGCUCGAAAGAGAGCCGUAACACAGGUGCUGCAUGGCUGUCGUCAGCUCGUGUCGUGAGAUGUUGGGUUAAGUCCCGCAACGAGCGCAACCCUUGUCAUUAGUUGCUACGAAAGGGCACUCUAAUGAGACUGCCGGUGACAAACCGGAGGAAGGUGGGGAUGACGUCAAGUCCUCAUGGCCCUUAUAGGUGGGGCUACACACGUCAUACAAUGGCUGGUACAAAGGGUUGCCAACCCGCGAGGGGGAGCUAAUCCCAUAAAGCCAGUCGUAGUCCGGAUCGCAGUCUGCAACUCGACUGCGUGAAGUCGGAAUCGCUAGUAAUCGUGGAUCAGAAUGUCACGGUGAAUACGUUCCCGGGUCUUGUACACACCGCCCGUCACACCAUGGGAGCGGGUUCUGCCAGAAGUAGUUAGCCUAACCGCAAGGAGGGCGAUUACCACGGCAGGGUUCGUGACUGGGGUGAAGUCGUAACAAGGUAGCCGUAUCGGAAGGUGCGGCUGGAUCACCUCCUUUCU